AAGCGGGUGGAGCAUGUGGUUUAAUUCGAAGCAACGCGAAGAACCCUUACCAGGUCUUGACAUCCUGUGCUACACCUAGAGAUAGGUGGUUCCCUUCGGGGACGCAGAGACAGGUGGUGCAUGGCUGUCGUCAGCUCGUGUCGUGAGAUGUUGGGUUAAGUCCCGCAACGAGCGCAACCCUUGUCUUUAGUUGCCAUCAUUAAGUUGGGCACUCUAAAGAGACUGCCGGUGACAAACCGGAGGAAGGUGGGGAUGACGUCAAGUCAUCAUGCCCCUUAUGACCUGGGCUACACACGUGCUACAAUGGGCAGUACAACGAGAAGCGAACCCGCGAGGGUAAGCGGAUCUCUUAAAGCUGUUCUCAGUUCGGACUGCAGGCUGCAACUCGCCUGCACGAAGCUGGAAUCGCUAGUAAUCGCGGAUCAGCACGCCGCGGUGAAUACGUUCCCGGGCCUUGUACACACCGCCCGUCACACCAUGGAAGUCUGCAAUGCCCAAAGUGCGGUGGGAUAACCUUUAUAGGAGUCAGCCGCUAAGGCAGGGC
This 544-nucleotide ribosomal RNA is filed under the name Lactobacillus delbrueckii subsp. bulgaricus. RNAcentral describes it as "bacterial SSU rRNA". It matches the Rfam family "Bacterial small subunit ribosomal RNA", at positions 927 to 1468 of the family's 1533-position model. Lineage: Bacteria; Bacillati; Bacillota; Bacilli; Lactobacillales; Lactobacillaceae. The record is from RNAcentral.